RNAcentral lists this long non-coding RNA (2659 nucleotides) under Salmo salar (Atlantic salmon). RNAcentral describes it as "lncRNA (ENSSSAG00000105422.1, ENSSSAG00000113539.1)". The record is from RNAcentral. Lineage: Eukaryota; Metazoa; Chordata; Actinopteri; Salmoniformes; Salmonidae.
GUCGUUUUGUUCACACACACACACACACGGUCGUUUUGUUCACACACACACACGGUCGUUUUGUUCACACACACACACGGUCGUUUUGUUCACACACACACGGUCGUUUUGUUCACACACACACACGGUCGUUUUGUUCACACACACACACGGUCGUUUUGUUCACACACACGGUCGUUUUGUUCACACACACACGGUCGUUUUGUUCUCACACACACACACACACACACGGUCGUUUUGUUCACACACACACACGGUAGUUUUGUUCACACACACAAACACGGUCGUUUUGUUCACACACACAAACACGGUCGUUUUGUUCACACACACACACACACACAGUCGUUUUGUUCACACACACGCACACACACAUACACACACGGUCGUUUUUUCAAACACACACACACAGUCGUUUUGUUCACACACACACACACACACACACGGUCGUUUUGUUCACACACACGGUCGUUUUGUUCACACACACAUACACACACGGUCGUUUUGUUCACACACACACACACACACACACACACACACACACACACACGGUCGUUUUGUUCACACACACACGGUCGUUUUGUUCACACACACACGGUCGUUUUGUUCACACACACACACAUACACACGGUAGGUUUGUUCUCUCACACACACACGGUCGUUUUGUUCACACACACACACACACACACACGGUCGUUUUGUUCACACACACACACACGGUCGUUUUGUUCACACACACACACGGUCGUUUUGUUCACACACACACACACACACACACACACACGGUCGUUUUGUUCACACACACGGUCGUUUUGUUCACACACACACACACACACGGUCGUUUUGUUCACACACACACACACACGGUCGUUUUGUUCACACACACACACACACGGUCGUUUUGUUCACACACACACACACACACACACACGGUCGUUUUGUUCACACACACACACGGUCGUUUUGUUCACACACACACGGUCGUUUUGUUCACACACACACGGUCGUUUUGUUCACACACACACACGGUCGUUUUGUUCACACACACACACACACACGGUCGUUUUGUUCACACACACACGGUCAUUUUGUUCACACACACACACACACACACACGGUCGUUUUGUUCACACACACACACGGUCGUUUUGUUCACACACACACACACGGUCGUUUUGUUCACACACACACACGGUUGUUUUGUUCACACACACACACACGGUCGUUUUGUUCACACACACACACGGCCGUUUUGUUCACACACACACACACACACGGUCGUUUUGUUCACACACACACACACAACACACGGUAGGUUUGUUCUCACACACACACACAUACACACACACACACACACGGUCGUUUUGUUCACACACACACACACGGUCGUUUUGUUCACACACACGGUCGUUUUGUUCACACACACACGCACACACGGUCGUUUUGUUCACACACACACACACGGUCGUUUUGUUCACACACACACACACGGUCGUUUUGUUCACACACACACACACGGUCGUUUUGUUCACACACACACACGGUCGUUUUGUUCACACACACACGGUCGUUUUGUUCACACACACACACGGUCGUUUUGUUCACACACACACACGGUCGUUUUGUUCACACACACACACGGUCGUUUUGUUCACACACACACGGUCGUUUUGUUCACACACACACGGUCGUUUUGUUCUCACACACACACACACACACACGGUCGUUUUGUUCACACACACACACGGUAGUUUUGUUCACACACACAAACACGGUCGUUUUGUUCACACACACACACGGUCGUUUUGUUCACACACACACACACACACACAGUCGUUUUGUUCACACACACGCACACACACAUACACACACGGUCGUUUUUUCAAACACACACACACAGUCGUUUUGUUCCACACACACACACACACACACGGUCGUUUUGUUCACACACACGGUCGUUUUGUUCACACACACACACACACGGUCGUUUUGUUCACACACACACACACACACACACACACACACACACACACGGUCGUUUUGUUCACACACACACGGUCGUUUUGUUCACACACACACACACACACGGCGGUUUGUUCUCUCACACACACACGGGUCGUUUUGUUCACACACACACACACACACACACGGUCGUUUUGUUCACACACACACACACGGUCGUUUUGUUCACACACACACACGGUCGUUUUGUUCACACACACACACACACACACACACACACACACGGUCGUUUUGUUCACACACACACGGUCGUUUUGUUCACACACACACACACGGUCGUUUUGUUCACACACACACACACACGGUCGUUUUGUUCACACACACACACACGGUCGUUUUGUUCACACACACACACACGGUCGUUUUGUUCACACACACACACGGUCGUUUUGUUCACACACACACGGUCGUUUUGUUCACACACACACACGGUCGUUUUGUUCACACACACACACGGUCGUUUUGUUCACACACACACACACACGGUCGUUUUGUUCACACACACACACGAUCGUUUUGUUCACACACACACGGUCGUUUUGUUCACACACACACACACACACACACACGGUCGUUUUGUUCACACACACACACACACGGUCGCUUUGUUCACACACACACACACACACGGUCGUUUGUU